This 204-nucleotide ribosomal RNA is filed under the name uncultured bacterium. RNAcentral describes it as "partial 16S ribosomal RNA". It matches the Rfam family "Bacterial small subunit ribosomal RNA", at positions 524 to 727 of the family's 1533-position model. The record is from RNAcentral.
UACGGAGGAUGCAAGCGUUAUCCGGAAUGAUUGGGCGUAAGCGUCCGCAGGUGGCUAUGUAAGUCUGCUGUUAAAGAGUGAGGCUCAACCUCAUAAAAGCAGUGGAAACUACAUGGCUAGAGUGCGUUCGGGGCAGAGGGAAUUCCUGGUGUAGCGGUGAAAUGCGCAGAUAUCAGGAAGAACACCCGGUGGCGAAAGCGGCUC